RNAcentral lists this ribosomal RNA (260 nucleotides) under uncultured bacterium. Its description in RNAcentral is "partial 16S ribosomal RNA". It matches the Rfam family "Bacterial small subunit ribosomal RNA", at positions 793 to 1055 of the family's 1533-position model. The record is from RNAcentral.
GUCCACGCCCUAAACGAUGUCAACUGGUUGUUGGGGAUUUCGGUCCUUGGUAACGUAGCUAACGCGAGAAGUUGACCGCCUGGGGAGUACGGCCGCAAGGUUAAAACUCAAAGGAAUUGACGGGGCCCGCACAAGCGGUGGAUGAUGUGGAUUAAUUCGAUGCAACGCGAAAACCUUACCUGGUCUUGACAUGUCGAGAAUCCCUUAGAGAUAGGGGAGUGCCGCAAGGAACUCGAACACAGGUGCUGCAUGGCUGUCGU